AGUGGAUGGGGAGCAACCUAGUUGUGCGUGUGUAAAGGUAGUGCCAGGAAAAGCGAUGAUCAUGUUGAAAAUCAAUUCCCGGUACCCGAAACCGACACAGGUGGGCAAGUAGAGGAUACUAAGGGGCGCGAGGUAACUCUCUCCAAGGAACUCGGCAAAAUGACCCCGUAACUUAGGGAGAAGGGGUGCCACCGAGAGGUGGUCGCAGUGAAGAGGCCCAGGCGACUGUUUACCAAAAACACAGGUCUCCGCCAAGUCGCAAGACGCAGUAGGGGGGCUGACGCCUGCCCAGUGCCGGAAGGUUAAGGAAGUUGGUUAGUUUCGACGAAGCUAGCGACCGAAGCCCCGGUGAACGGCGGCCGUACCUAUAACGGUCCUAAGGUAGCGAAAUUCCUUGUCGGGUAAGUUCCGACCCGCACGAAAGGCGUAACGACCUGGGCGCUGUCUCGGAGAGAGGCUCGGCGAAAUAGGAUUGUCUGUGAAGAUACGGACUACCUGCAUUUGGACAGAAAGACCCUUUACUAUAGCUUGGAAUUGUGUUCGGGCUUCCUGUGCGCAGGAUAGGUGGGAGGCGUAGAAGGUAUUCUUGUGGGGAUACUGGAGCCAACGGUGAGAUACCACUCUCAGGAGGCUAGAAUUCUAACUUAAUUAAGGACAGUUUCAGGUGGGUAGUUUGACUGGGGCGAUCGCCUCCAAAAAGGUAACGGAGGCGUACAAAGGUUCCCUCAGACUGGUUGGAAAUCAGUCGAAGAGUCAAAGGCAGAAGGGAGCUUGACUGCGAGAAGUACAGUUCGAGCAGGGUGGAAACACGGUCUUAGUGAUCCGACGGUGCUGUGUGGAAGGGCCGUCGCUCAACGGAUAAAAGUUACUCUAAGGAUAACAGGCUGAUCUCCCCCAAGAGUUCACAUCGACGGGGAGGUUUGGCACCUCGAUGUCGGCUCAUCGCAACCUGGGGCGGAAGUACGUCCCAAGGGUUGGGCUGUUCGCCCAUUAAAGCGGUACGUGAGCUGGGUUCAGAACGUCGUGAGACAGUUCGGUCCAUAUCCGAUGUAGGCGUGAGAAUAUUGAGAGGAGCCUUCCUUAGUACGAGAGGACCGGGAAGGACGCACCGCUGGUGUACCUGUUAUGAUGCCAAUUGUAAACGCAGGGUAGCCAAGUGCGGAGAGGAUAACCGCUGAAAGCAUCUAAGUGGGAAGCCCACCUCAAGAUGAGUAUUCUGGUGUAAGGUCACGGGAAGACGACCCGUAAAUAGGCACGAGGUGGAAGUGCAGAGAUGUAUGAAGCCGAAGUGUACUAAUAGACCGUCGGCUUGACC
Molecule: ribosomal RNA, 1315 nt
Filed under: metagenome
Description: bacterial LSU rRNA
Rfam family: Bacterial large subunit ribosomal RNA
Source: RNAcentral